UUAAGCAUAUAAUUAAGCGGAGGAAAAGAAACUAACCAGGAUUCCCUCAGUAAGGGCGACUGAAGCGGGAAGUGCUCAGGAUGUGAAUCUGCGCUGUAAUAAGCGCCGAAUUGUGGUCUGUCGACGGUGGCAUUACUAGCCGGGCCAAGUCCCUUGGAACAGGGCAGCUGAGAGGGUGAGACUCCCGUACGCCUGGCUGGGUGAGCUACUUGUCAACGAGUCGAGUUGUUUGGGAUUGCAGCUCAAAGCGGGUGGUAAAUUCCAUCUAAAGCUAAAUAUUGGUGGGAGACCGAUAGCGUACAAGUACCGUGAGGGAAAGAUGCAAAGAACUUUGAAAAGAGAGUUAAAGAGUACCUGAAAUUGCUGAAAGGGAAGCGAAGGAAACCAGUGUCGGCUUGGUCAUAUUUCCCUGUCCGCUUGCGGAUUGGGCGCUGUGUCCUGCCUCUGUUGUUCUUGGUUGGUUCUGGUGGAAGAGCGCCGUGAGAGUUGAUCUCGGUUGCUAGCAUCGGAUCUGACUGAGUAGGACGAAAUGGUUUUCUUUACCCCGUCUAGAAACACGGACCAAGGAGUCUAACAUAUGUGCGAGUACAGAGGUGGCAAACCUCCGUGCGCAAUGAAAGUGACAGUGGUUGGACUUUUGCACAAUCCGCCGGCCUCAAUCCCUCGGGAGAACGGUCUGAGUGUGAGCAUACAUGUUGGGACCCGAAAGAUGGUGAACUAUGCCUGAAUAGGGUGAAGCCAGGGGAAACUCUGGUGGAGGCUCGUAGCGAUUCUGACGUGCAAAUCGAUCGUCAAAUUUGGGUAUAGGGGCGAAAGACUAAUCGAACCAUCUAGUAGCUG
RNAcentral lists this ribosomal RNA (840 nucleotides) under Nitzschia draveillensis. RNAcentral describes it as "eukaryotic LSU rRNA". It matches the Rfam family "Eukaryotic large subunit ribosomal RNA", at positions 34 to 953 of the family's 3401-position model. Lineage: Eukaryota; Bacillariophyta; Bacillariophyceae; Bacillariales; Bacillariaceae. The record is from RNAcentral.